CCUACGGGGUGCAGCAGUGAGGAAUAUUGGUCAAUGGACGAGAGUCUGAACCAGCCAAGUAGCGUGAAGGAUGACUGCCCUAUGGGUUGUAAACUUCUUUUAUAUGGGAAUAAAAUGUUCCACGUGUGGGAUUUUGUAUGUACCAUAUGAAUAAGGAUCGGCUAACUCCGUGCCAGCAGCCGCGGUAAUACGGAGGAUCCGAGCGUUAUCCGGAUUUAUUGGGUUUAAAGGGAGCGUAGGUGGAUUGUUAAGUCAGUUGUGAAAGUUUGGGGCUCAACCGUAAAAUUGCAGUUGAAACUGGCAGUCUUGAGUACAGUAGAGGGGGGCGGAAUUCGUGGUGUAGCGGUGAAAUGCUUAGAGAUCACGAAGAACUCCGAUUGCGAAGGCAGUUCACUGGACUGCAACUGACACUGAGGCUCGAAAGUGUGGGUAUCAAACAGGAUUAGAUACCCCAGUAGUC
RNAcentral lists this ribosomal RNA (460 nucleotides) under uncultured bacterium. RNAcentral describes it as "partial 16S ribosomal RNA". It matches the Rfam family "Bacterial small subunit ribosomal RNA", at positions 338 to 795 of the family's 1533-position model. The record is from RNAcentral.